This 497-nucleotide ribosomal RNA is filed under the name uncultured bacterium. Its description in RNAcentral is "partial 16S ribosomal RNA". It matches the Rfam family "Bacterial small subunit ribosomal RNA", at positions 28 to 507 of the family's 1533-position model. The record is from RNAcentral.
GACGAACGCUGGCGGCGUGCCUAAUACAUGCAAGUAGAACGCUGAAGAGAGGAGCUUGCUCUUCUUGGAUGAGUUGCGAACGGGUGAGUAACGCGUAGGUAACCUGCCUUGUAGCGGGGGAUAACUAUUGGAAACGAUAGCUAAUACCGCAUAACAAUGGAUGACACAUGUCAUUUAUUUGAAAGGGGCAAUUGCUCCACUACAAGAUGGACCUGCGUUGUAUUAGCUAGUAGGUGAGGUAAUGGCUCACCUAGGCGACGAUACAUAGCCGACCUGAGAGGGGGAUCGGCCAAACUGGGACUGAGACACGGCCCAGACUCCUACGGGAGGCAGCAGUAGGGAAUCUUCGGCAAUGGGGGCAACCCUGGACGAGCAACGCCGCGUGAGUGAAGAAGGUUUUCGGAUCGUAAAGCUCUGUUGUAAGUCAAGAACGGGUGUGAGAGUGGAAAGUUCACACUGUGACGGUAGCUUACCAGAAAGGGACGGCUAACUACGUG